Molecule: ribosomal RNA, 924 nt
Filed under: uncultured bacterium
Lineage: Bacteria
Description: bacterial SSU rRNA
Rfam family: Bacterial small subunit ribosomal RNA
Source: RNAcentral
AGAGUUUGAUCCUGGCUCAGAUUGAACGCUGGCGGCAGGCUUAACACAUGCAAGUCGAGCGGAAACGAUACCAGCUUGCUGGUGGGCGUCGAGCGGCGGACGGGUGAGUAAUACUUAGGAAUCUACCUAGUAGUGGGGGAUAGCUCGGGGAAACUCGAAUUAAUACCGCAUACGACCUACGGGAGAAAGGGGGCAGUUUACUGCUCUCGCUAUUAGAUGAGCCUAAGUCGGAUUAGCUAGAUGGUGGGGUAAAGGCCUACCAUGGCGACGAUCUGUAGCUGGUCUGAGAGGAUGAUCAGCCACACCGGGACUGAGACACGGCCCGGACUCCUACGGGAGGCAGCAGUGGGGAACAUUGGACAAUGGGGGAAACCCUGAUCCAGCCAUGCCGCGUGUGUGAGGAAGGCCUUUUGGUUGUAAAGCACUUUAAGCAGUGAAGAAGACUCCUCGGUUAAUACCCGUGGACGAUGACAUUAGCUGCAGAAUAAGCACCGGCUAACUCUGUGCCAGCAGCCGCGGUAAUACAGAGGGUGCAAGCGUUAAUCGGAAUUACUGGGCGUAAAGCGAGCGUAGGUGGCUUGAUAAGUCAGAUGUGAAAUCCCCGGGCUUAACCUGGGAACUGCAUCUGAAACUGUUAGGCUAGAGUAGGUGAGAGGAAGGUAGAAUUCCAGGUGUAGCGGUGAAAUGCGUAGAGAUCUGGAGGAAUACCGAUGGCGAAGGCAGCCUUCUGGCAUCAUACUGACACUGAGGCUCGAAAGCGUGGGUAGCAAACAGGAUUAGAUACCCUGGUAGUCCACGCCGUAAACGAUGUCUACUAGUCGUUGGGUCCCUUGAGGACUUAGUGACGCAGCUAACGCAAUAAGUAGACCGCCUGGGGAGUACGGCCGCAAGGUUAAAACUCAAUGAAUUGACGGGGGACGCACA